Molecule: ribosomal RNA, 814 nt
Filed under: Salmonella enterica subsp. enterica serovar Heidelberg
Lineage: Bacteria; Pseudomonadati; Pseudomonadota; Gammaproteobacteria; Enterobacterales; Enterobacteriaceae
Description: partial 23S ribosomal RNA
Rfam family: Bacterial large subunit ribosomal RNA
Source: RNAcentral
CUGACUGACCGAUAGUGAACCAGUACCGUGAGGGAAAGGCGAAAAGAACCCCGGCGAGGGGAGUGAAAAAGAACCUGAAACCGUGUACGUACAAGCAGUGGGAGCCCCACCACUAAGCCAGUGGUGAACUCCACAUACGCAUCCUUUGCUGAGGAUACGGUUAACGGAGCGAAAGCGACGUUCAACCGCAAAAGAAGCAGAGGGGGCUUAGUGGUGGGGUGACUGCGUACCUUUUGUAUAAUGGGUCAGCGACUUAUAUUCUGUAGCAAGGUUAACCGAAUAGGGGAGCCGGAGGGAAACCGAGUCUUAAUUGGGCGUUAAGUUGCAGGGUAUAGACCCGAAACCCGGUGAUCUAGCCAUGGGCAGGUUGAAGGUUGGGUAACACUAACUGGAGGACCGAACCGACUAAUGUUGAAAAAUUAGCGGAUGACCUGUGGCUGGGGGUGAAAGGCCAAUCAAACCGGGAGAUAGCUGGUUCUCCCCGAAAGCUAUUUAGGUAGCGCCUCGUGAAUUCAUCUCCGGGGGUAGAGCACUGUUUCGGCUAGGGGGCCAUCCCGGCUUACCAACCCGAUGCAAACUGCGAAUACCGGAGAAUGUUAUCACGGGAGACACACGGCGGGUGCUAACGUCCGUCGUGAAGAGGGAAACAACCCAGACCGCCAGCUAAGGUCCCAAAGUCAUGGUUAAGUGGGAAACGAUGUGGGAAGGCCCAGACAGCCAGGAUGUUGGCUUAGAAGCAGCCAUCAUUUAAAGAAAGCGUAAUAGCUCACUGGUCGAGUCGGCCUGCGCGGAAGAUGUAACGGGGCUAAACCAU